UAUGACCCAAAAAUAACAGGGGUCAAGGUCGGCCAGUGAGAUGAUGGGGGAUAAGCUUCAUCGUCGAGAGGGAAACAGCCCGGAUCACCAGCUAAGGCCCCUAAAUGACCGCUCAGUGAAAAAGGAGGUGGGGGUGCAAAGACAGCCAUGAGGUUUGCCUAGAAGCAGCCACCCUUUAUAGAGUGCAUAAUAGCUCACUGAUCGAGCGCCCUUGCACAGAAGAUGAACGGGGCUAAGCGAUCUGCUGAAGCUGUGGGAUGUCAAAAUGCAUCGGUAGGGGAGCGUUCUGCCUUAGAGGGAAGCAACCGCGAAAGCGGGGGUUGACGAAGCGGAAGCG
RNAcentral lists this non-coding RNA (337 nucleotides) under Triticum aestivum (bread wheat). Its description in RNAcentral is "Bacterial large subunit ribosomal RNA". It matches the Rfam family "Bacterial large subunit ribosomal RNA", at positions 948 to 1290 of the family's 2925-position model. The record is from Rfam by way of RNAcentral. Lineage: Eukaryota; Viridiplantae; Streptophyta; Magnoliopsida; Poales; Poaceae.